AUCCAAUUCUGUAACAGGUUUACGCUUUUGGUACACAACUUCCGCAUUCUUUUCACUUUAUAAACCAGGCUAUCAGAUACAGGCGAGAUUUUUGCAAACAACUAUUUCUGUUUGUGUAGUCCCCGUGUCAAGUAUAUACAAAGUCUUCCAUUCUUCUAUAGCGUCCGCGGCCAAAUGGACCCGUUAGACUUUAAAACGAAUAAAGAGUUGCUGUUUUUCUUCCACCGGAAAAAGACGGAGAUUUCGUGCAUAGAAGAACCGCACAGACUCCUCACUCAGCUGCGCGACCACGAUCUGGUGCCAGAGAAACUUUUUGAGAAUGUGAAAAACACGCGUACUCGUAAGCAGAAGGAGAAGGGCUUCUAUGAGGUUCUGGACUGGGUGGAGAAAAAUAGACCUCAGGACAUACAGCAGUUCUGGUGCUGUGUGUUUGAAGAUCAUAUCCUGCAGCAGUACCCAAAGCUACGCAAGCUCAGAAGCAGUCUGCUUGAUGGCACUGAGAAACUCUAUGAGAAACCUCCGGAUGUUGAGAUACAGACAGAGGAGGAGAAGAGUAAAGGAAAGGCAGAGAAAGGGAAGGAGAAGAGCUACAAAAGAAAGGGAAGUAAAGAUGACAAAAGUAGUGAGGAUAGUGAUGAUCCUGGUCCUUCCUCUACUUCCACACCCAAGCGGAGGAAACCAGCCAAAAAACCCUCAUCCUGUGAGUCCCUGAACUACAGCAGGUCUAAUUUCUUAUCAGGGUUUAUAGUUAACA
RNAcentral lists this long non-coding RNA (754 nucleotides) under Sinocyclocheilus anshuiensis. Its description in RNAcentral is "lncRNA (ENSSANG00000009623.1)". The record is from RNAcentral. Lineage: Eukaryota; Metazoa; Chordata; Actinopteri; Cypriniformes; Cyprinidae.